GUGCUCACUCUCUUCUGUCAA
This 21-nucleotide small nuclear RNA is filed under the name Arabidopsis thaliana (thale cress). RNAcentral describes it as "snRNA_13567". The record is from RNAcentral. Lineage: Eukaryota; Viridiplantae; Streptophyta; Magnoliopsida; Brassicales; Brassicaceae.